GCAAAUUAUACAUUUCAAAAAGCUGAAAGUUGACAACAUAGACAUCACAAAAACCCAGAAAAGAAUAAAAAUAUAUUUUAUAAACUAUUAUUGAUCCUCUGCUGCCACUCAUCUACAAUGUUUUCAUCUUGCAUGUUUUGGCUAUAUGUUCUCUGAUUUCUUCAUAGGACAAUAAUUUUGUAUUAUCAUUUUCUAUAGGGAGAAAAAAGGUAAUUCUAUCUUUCCUGUAAACAUGGUUGGCCCUAGUUUGGUUGGCCCUCGGUAGUUUGAAAACGUGCAUCUGUUGGCUUCUUUGCUUGGCAUUGGUAAUGUCACACCUCAGCCAUUCUCUGUUCAGCUAUGUGAGCUCCUGAUCAGCCUCCCAGGCCUUUGUCCCUCAAUUCCCCCUCAGCUGCGUCAGCUCAGUCACAGCCUUGCCCACAUGGGCACUUGCCCCUCACCUGCCUCUGCUGCUCCAGUCCUGGGGUAGGGGACAGAGUGGCUAUGGGACCUGGUCGUGAUGACCUCUGAGUGGGAUGCUGAGCAGGGUCUUAUUGGCUCUUUCCUCCUGGAGUUGAAGCGUGUGGAGCCUUGGUGAGUGAGUCCCCCAGAAACACGUGGGAGCCCUGCCAUUGAAGGUGGGCUAGCACCUGUAGUCCUAGGACCCUGCUGGGGAGUGGUGUGUGACAUUUGCUGGGGCAAUGUGCCCUACUGGGGCCACUGUGGCCUCCCAGCCAGCCCUCAAGUAUAAUGCAUUGAGGCACAGAAAGGCCAGUUUUGGGUGUGGGGCCAUGAGGUGCGGGCUCUGGUGGCCUCAUGGUCAGUCCCCCUCUGGUCCUGGGUUAGCAUUUCCCAGAGGGGCCUGGGAUGCCCUGUGAGAAGAGGCUCCCUAGUUGUCUUAGUUCAGGCUACAAAGUACCAUAGACUGGGUGGCUUAUAAACAACAGUCAUUGAUUUCUCACAGCUCUGGUGGCUGGAACUCCAAGCUGGAGUGCCAGCACCACUGAUUUCUGGUGAGGGCUCUCUUCUGGGCUGCAGACAGCUGACUUCUAUCCUUGCAUGGUGGAAAGAGAGCAAAGGAGCGCUCUGUUCUCUUCUUAAAAGUUUACAGCUCACCACUUCCAGCCUGGGAACUCCGUGCUAAUUGAGACUUGGAAAGAAGACAAGCUCCAGCCAUGCUGGGAAGUUUCCUGUCAAGGGCUCCUGAUCACUAAGACAGAUGUACGAACAGCUGAAUGGGGCAGGGGGCAGAGUUCAACUCUCAACUUGUACCCACAUCUUAAAUGUUACUGGUAAGUCAAACAAAGGCAACUACUUGCCUCUUCAUAUACCCCCGGCUAAUGUCUAGUGGUAUUGUGGGAAAAGGAACCUCUGCAACUUGUUACUGCCCAAUUGAACCGGGACUUGUGCCUUAGUUUAACUGGCCAUUCCAUUCGCUUUGGCAAAUUCCAUAAAAUCCCCGAAAAUCCACAUGGCCACCAAAGUUGGAGAGAUCUAAGAAAUUCCUUUAAUCCCAACAUUUAUGUUAACUCAAUAGGAGCCACUAAAGGAGUACUUAAUGAAUUUAAGGACUAAAGGACACAAAAAUAAAUGUGAAAAUGGGACCAGUAGGGGUAAAAAGAAAAAGAGGAGGGAAUUGAAGGAAGUAAUGUAUACAGCCGUCCAUUUCCAAGACAAAGUGCCUUAAAUCAUCUUAGGGCAGCAAACUACAAAAGAAACUGAAAAUACUAGGUCCCUGCUUGAAUAGCCAAUGCCUGCUUGUCAGCCUCCCCUUCCCCCCACCACCCCACUUAGUUGCCCUCACCGGAACCAAAAAAGUUUAGUCUAAAAUAAAAGUUUACUAGUCUGCAAAAUAGCUCGCUUUGUCUUUUCUUAUCAGUCUGUCCAGCUACUUAGGUCAUAAGUCAAAUACUUGAAGAGCUCAUGAGCUAACUAGGAUUGCUAUGCAUUGUGGGCUGCAACAAAAUGCAGCAAGACAACCCUAAAGAAAACACCUAAAGCCCCUGCCUAACAAUCAAUAGCGACGUCCGUCUGGGAAAAUUGUAACCCUGUAGUACUCAACCUAUGAAGAAUGGCAGGGAAGGACCUGCACACUAGGGGAUAAAUUGCUUGUUAAAACUGUGCUGGGUGUGCCUGUGUGUCAAACACCCAAUCUUGCAAAACUGUCGUUACAAGUCUCACUUUGCUGUCCUGUGGGUCUCUAAGUCCAUUCUUUGAGUUUGAACAGUUAAGUUUGUUUCUCAUAGUUUGAAUGCUUAUUUUUGUACUAAAUGUUGUAUUAGGUAUCUUAUGUUUGCUGUCUUAUUUAAUUCUCACAAUAAACCUACAAAGCAGUGGUAUUCUUUCCAUUUCAUGGAUGAAGAAACUGAGGUUCACGGAGGCUCAGUAACUAAUGCAAGCCAAAUGGGUAGUGGAUGAUGGAGUGGGCUGUGAAUUCAGGUUUUCUUGUAUCACUUGACCACAGGCUAAAUGACAAGGGCUACUCUGGGGCCAAUGACAGCUCCUAAGACCCAGAACACAUGCAUGCCUGUCAGGGCAGAGAAAUUGAGUCUGUUUGGAAGCCAACUUAAGCCUUAGGAAUAUAGCCUUUAGAGCAAACGGUUUUAACCCAGGUCAGCAGAUGGAAUUCAUGGGAUCUAUGAACUUGGACAAGAAACACUUCCGCGUCAUUUUCACUAACUUUUCACUGAAUUUAGCACCUCUCUCACCUAUCACGUAGGCAAUAAAUCAGUGUUGGCCAGACCUGUAACUCUGUCAUUAAAAGAAACUACAGAUAUUUGCAUUUCACGUUACAGUGUUUACCAAUAUCUCAAAAUAUUGCUUAUGCAAUUUGUCAUGACUUUGCAUUUAUAGUAAUUAGACCUGCAGCAGACCUUGUUGUUUGUUACUCACAGAAUAUAUAUAUAUAUAUAUAUAUAAUUAUGUUAUGAAUUAGUUUUCAAAAGUGUUUUGAUAACUGUGGUUUAAUAUAAUUUAUUGGUCUUAUUUUGUGCACUUAAAAAUAUUCUUCUGGAAAAGCCUCCAUAUGCCCCACCAGACUGUCAGAGGACUCCAGAUACAGAACGGUCUCGAUGCCCUGACUCAGCAAGAGUGACUGAGUCAAAUCCUGACUGUCUCAUAUACCAGCUGGAGGACAUUAAGUUCUGUAGCCUGGUGGGAUGUCUCUCCUAAAUCAGGGUUUCUCAGCCUUGGCCCUGUUGAUGUUAGGGCUGCAUAAUUCUUUGCUGGGGAUGGUAUGGGGGUGAAUGGGGGCUAGCUCGUGCACUGUGGGAUGUGUGACAUUCCUGGCCUUGACCCACAAGAUGCAAUAGUACCCCACCCCCCAGUAUAUUCCUGGCCUUGACCCACAAGAUGCAAUAGUACCUCACCCCCCGGUUGUGACAACCCAAAAUGCCUCCUCUAGACAUUGUCUCAUGCCCCUGUGGGCAAGAUGGCCCAGUUGAGAACUGCUGUGCUAGAUGUGCAAUGUGAUAUUAGAGGAUUCUUGGGAGUACACUGCGAUCAUGCCUCAAUGCCUGAGUGCUCCAUGUGGCGCUCUAUCCUGUUUUUGUUAGGACACCAGAUUUCAGUAAGUUCAGGGUCAAGAGGGACUGGUCUCUCAGCCUGAGGGUCCACAAGGAAGUCCCUCUGGAGGGUUGGCAGCCUGCACUGGGGUGAUUCCAACUGGGAGUCCAGGGGAGCCCAGUCCUGGCGAGCUGAUGAUGGGAUGGAGAAGAACAGUGACUCAUGGGUGCCUACGGGUGCCCCGGACCUGAAAGAUAGACAGCAGGGGCUAACCCCAGAUAGGCAGGAGUGUAGAAAAUGCCUUCUCCAACCUCAGGGGAUUCUUGGUUCUUUUAAAGCCAGAAGAAUGAGGAUGGCAGGGCCACAAGCUGCCCUAAAGGAUGAUGCAGUGCUGCAGGAGAUUAAGAGGAAGGGGGCAUUUUUAAAUUCUUUUGGAGUACUGAAGGGGAAAUAACAGAAUGGUGAGAGAAGCUACUGGUUUUGAGUGUUGACACCAUGCCAGGUGCUGUUCUAAGCAGCCUAUGUCAACAUGGUACUUAAUUCUUACAGCUAACUAGGAGGUAGAUGCUGUCAAUGUCCUCAUUUGGCAAGGCUCUGAGGCUUAAAUGUCCACUGUCUUGCCUGACUUUCCUUCUGUAAAUGACAGAACUGAAAUGUAAGCCCAGAUGUGUCUAAUUUCAGUGCCCAUGAGUUAAAUCAAUAGGUAGCACUGCCCAAAUGCCAUUCCAGAUACCCAGAAAACCCAAAGCUGAUACUGCUAAACAAAGGUUAGGGGCCCGUGAGAAACUACAGAGGUCAGAGCACUCCUAAGAGACUGAAGGGGCUCAUCUGGGACAGUGUUUGACAAAAAUGCAGGAGAAGGCGGGCCUUCUGUGGACCUCCUGUGACCUAUGGACUUGGGAAUUCCUUGCCUUGUGAAUUCCAUGCCGAUGUUAGACAAGCAUCUGGAUCAAUUACUAAACCUACGUCUCGUCAGCCCUUAGAUGCCAAAUGUGUGGUUGAUAAGAAUCAUUGUCAUUUUUUGACUUUUUAAUAAUAGCCAUUCUGACUGGUAUGAGAUUGGGUAUUUUUAUUCUAAAUAAAUAUUCUUUUUUAUAACAACAACAAACAAAUCACUGUAAGAUCAUAAGUUAACAAAGAACAAAUCAUGCCAGACAAACUUCGUUCUUCUUUAUGGCUCUGCUCUCCUGAUGGCUUGGUGGGAGGUGGGGGUGGAGGGGAAUCUGCAGAUGGCUUUCCAUAGAGCAUCUGCUCCCAGCUCUCAUGAAAUCCGUGAGGACAGAUUUGGAAACAUGAGCUAGACAAUACCAGGGCAGGCUGCUUUCUGGUGGGUUAAAGACCUGUGCUCCAAGGGAACUGAUUAGCCAAUAUGGGCUUAGAGGAAUUCUCAGUGGCAAACUGGAGAUGAUUCAACAAUCAGAAUGAAAAAUGUCACCGUGACAUACUUGUGGAGAAAAGCAAACAGCACCAAGCAAGUAGAUUUUCACUAUAUCUGAGAUACCAGGGAGGGGAGCCAGUAUUACAAAAUUGCCUGGAUUUAAUGAUGAUGAUAAUAGGUAACACCUUUAAGUAUGUACUCUGUCCCCAGGUGUGGUUCUAAGCAUUUUACAUAAAUUAGUUCCUUUAGCACCUCCCAACAACCCUACAAAGUAGGUUAUAUUAUUUUCCACAUUUUACAGUUGAGGAAACUGAGGCGGAGAAUGAUUUCAUAGUUACCAGAUGCCUGAGAUUUAGAGUCCCAUUUAGCUCUGAGAUUGUAUUGGAAGGUGGGGAAAGAGUGGCUUGUAUGUGCACAAAAAGAAGAUAAUCACGGUGUGCCAAGGGGCUUAGCUGUCCCUUUCUCUGGGAGAUUUUUCUCUACCUCCCAAGUGGGGCUAGCGGCCUCUCCUAUGCACUCACAAGGCAUCCGGUACAUGGCGCUGUCCCUGCCCCUCCCCGAGGUUUAUAAUUUCCUAUGUGCAUGUUUGCCUCCCCUCUAGAUUCAUUUCAUCCCUUUAGGACCCUCAGCUUUGAGCACAGUGGCAACGCUGGGGUUUCCAGAAGUGUUGGUAAGGGGAUUGAAAUGAAUGUAAAGAUUGUAAAGUCUGAAGAAGAGACAGAAGGCCCUGGGGCCAGGGGGCAUGCAUGUGUGACAAAAUCUCAACCAAAGGCCACAGGGGAUGAGAAGAUAGAAGGAAGAAGUUGUCAUCCCCUGGAGCAUGGUAUUGAGGGAACCUGUGGGAUGGUCUUUCCCCAAGGCCUCGAUGGCCUCGCGGGGAGAGACCAUGGUAUAGACUCACUGGCCUCUCAUAAGCUUCUCCAGCUCCACAAGCCAAGAAGCCUAUGAAGUCUGUGGAGUUUCAAGUGCUGCACACUGGGCUGCUCACCUUUUCCUUUUAGAGUAAAGAGAUCAAGAAGACAUGGAGGAAAUGUAAAGAUAUAUUGGAAAGUACGUGGUAUAUAAUAUUAACUAAAGUCAAUAGUUUACAUUAGGCUUGGCUCUUGACUUCAGUUAAUAUUAUAUACCACAUAUUGAUUAAUCAGUUGUAACAGUUGUACCACACUAGUGCAAGAUGUUAAAAUAAAAAAAGGUGUGUGUGUGUGUGUGAGAGAGAGAGAGAGAGAGAGAAACAGAAAGACAGAAACAGAUGAGGUGUAUGGGAACUCUUUUUUUAGCAAUUUUUCCAUAACCUAAAAUUGUUCUAAAAAGUAAAAUCUAUUAAAACAAUACAGAGAUCUCUGUGAUCGCACCUAGAACAUACCCGGGAAAUACUGCUGAUGCACUCAUGUGCACUCACAGGAAUCACAGAACUAUACAGAGAUGGGCGCCCUCCUCAUUCCUUGGGGUAGACAGAUAUAGAAACAGGCUCAGCCAACAUCAGAUGUAACUUGCUCACUUUCUUUCCACUUCCCUUCAAUAAAUAUGCAGUAGGUGAACAUGCUUCAUAGAAUGGGAAAUGCUACACAAUUAUUAAAAACGUGUGGGCUAAAUCAAUCUAAGAGAUUGAAGAGAGCUGCUUCAAGUCAUUAUACUCAAGUGGACUCUGGGAGGGGUAGCCUUAGCAUCUGCUCCUUCUGGCCAAGGGCCAAAUGGAUUGGGGUCCCGAGCACAUCCACAGGAGGCCAGAAUGGCUGUAACUGGUGUCUCUUGUCCUGAUUAGAGGGUGAGGGCGGCUUCAGAGUUUCUAGAGUGUGGCCCCCGUCCUAAGGGGGCAUUGGGAUGGGGCUGCUCCUGAGCUGGGAGAAGGAGCUGGGAUGAGUGUCAGGCAGUUGCUGAGGGGUGGAGGAGAAGGAGCGAGCAGUUGCUAAGAGAGCUGGCAGGAGUGGAGCUGGGUGAUGUUUGACUCUGGAUUAAAAAAAUUUUUUAAGCAAGCAAAGAGAAUUUCCACUCUGCCAGAGCUAGGAGACCUUUGAGACCAUCUCUUCCAUCUUCUCACUCUAUAGCUGAGGAAACAGGGCCUGGAGGGAUCCCCCAGAGACCCAGUGGCAGUCCCACACUAGGCUGGGCUGUCCCUGACUCCUAGGCUCAUGCUUUGCAAAAUUGAAUGGGCCUGCAAAACAGCUCUCAAGCCUGAGCACUUCUCCCAUCUCACCCAAGUAACUCCUCUGCCUUGAGCCUUUUAACGGCUUCUCAUUCUGAGAGGAACCACUUACCUCCCCUACCAUGGUAUCUCAGGCCUUGACAGGCUGUCCUUCUCAUCUCUC
Molecule: long non-coding RNA, 7167 nt
Filed under: Homo sapiens (human)
Lineage: Eukaryota; Metazoa; Chordata; Mammalia; Primates; Hominidae
Description: HSALNT0022679
Source: RNAcentral